GUGAGGAAUAUUGGACAAUGGGCGCAAGCCUGAUCCAGCCAUGCCGCGUGCAGGAAGACGCAUCUAUGGUGUGUAAACUGCUUUUGUACGGGAAGAAACACUCCCUCGUGAGGAGCUUGACGGUACCGUAAGAAUAAGGAUCGGCUAACUCCGUGCCAGCAGCCGCGGUAAUACGGAGGAUCCAAGCGUUAUCCGGAAUCAUUGGGUUUAAAGGGUCCGUAGGCGGUUUAAUAAGUCAGUGGUGAAAGCCCAUCGCUCAACGAUGGAACGGCCAUUGAUACUGUUAGACUUGAAUUACAAGGAAGUAACUAGAAUAUGUAGUGUAGCGGUGAAAUGCUUAGAUAUUACAUGGAAUACCAAUUGCGAAGGCAGGUUACUACUUGUGGAUUGACGCUGAUGGACGAAAGCGUGGGGAGCGAACAGGAUUAGAUAACCGGGUAGUCC
This 444-nucleotide ribosomal RNA is filed under the name uncultured bacterium. RNAcentral describes it as "partial 16S ribosomal RNA". It matches the Rfam family "Bacterial small subunit ribosomal RNA", at positions 354 to 796 of the family's 1533-position model. The record is from RNAcentral.